Molecule: transfer RNA, 103 nt
Filed under: Desulfurococcales archaeon ex4484_217_2
Lineage: Archaea; Thermoproteati; Thermoproteota; Thermoprotei; Desulfurococcales
Description: tRNA-Leu
Rfam family: tRNA
About the family: Transfer RNA (tRNA) molecules are approximately 80 nucleotides in length. Their secondary structure includes four short double-helical elements and three loops (D, anti-codon, and T loops). Further hydrogen bonds mediate the characteristic L-shaped molecular structure. tRNAs have two regions of fundamental functional importance: the anti-codon, which is responsible for specific mRNA codon recognition, and the 3' end, to which the tRNAs corresponding amino acid is attached (by aminoacyl-tRNA synthetases). tRNAs cope with the degeneracy of the genetic code in two manners: having more than one tRNA (with a specific anti-codon) for a particular amino acid; and 'wobble' base-pairing, i.e. permitting non-standard base-pairing at the 3rd anti-codon position.
Source: RNAcentral
GGGUGCCCGAGCUAGGACAAAGGGGGCGGACUUAAGAUCCGCUGGCGUAGAGGCUUUCCUGCCGCGCAAGCCUGCGUGGGUUCAAAUCCCACCCCCCGCACCA